GAGUUUGAUCCUGGCUCAGGACGAACGCUGGCGGCGUGCUUAACACAUGCAAGUGGAGCGACGAACCGGGGCUUGCCCCGGGGCAGAGCCGCGAACGGGUGAGUAACACGUGGGUAACCCACCCCGAUGAUUGGGACAACCCGGGGAAACUCGGGCUAAUACCAAAUGUGCUGACGGUUCAUGAGGACCAUCAGUAAAGAUAGCUUCGGCCUUCGCAUCGGGACGGGCCCGCGGCCCAUUAGCUUGUUGGUGAGGUAACGGCUCACCAAGGCGACGAUGGGUAGCUGGUCUGAGAGGACGAUCAGCCACACUGGGACUGAGACACGGCCCAGACUCCUACGGGAGGCAGCAGUGGGGAAUCUUGCGCAAUGCGCGAAAGCGUGACGCGGCACGACCGCGUGGAGGAAGACGGUCUUCGGA
RNAcentral lists this ribosomal RNA (420 nucleotides) under uncultured bacterium. RNAcentral describes it as "bacterial SSU rRNA". It matches the Rfam family "Bacterial small subunit ribosomal RNA", at positions 9 to 422 of the family's 1533-position model. The record is from RNAcentral.